UGGGAUCCUCCUAACUACUCCUGGUCGUCGUCGUCAGCCUGCACGUAGUAGUAGGCACCUCCAAUGUAGUAGUCGUCAUCGACGCUGGCUCCUGGCUCCUGGACUCCAGCAUCUGGUUGCGACAACCAGAAAGAAAGGAAAGGGGAAAAAGGGGGGAGAAAGCAACCGUGAGUACUCAUCCAAAGUACUCGCAAGCAAGGAACUACACUACAUAUGCAUGGGUAUAUGUGUAAGGAGGCCAUAUCAGUGGACUGAACUGCAGAAUGCCAGAAUAAGAGGGGGAUAGCUAAUCCUGUCGAAGACUACGCUUCUCGCAGCCACCGUCUUGCAUCAAGUAAAAGAGAGUAGAUUGAAGUCCUCCAAGUAGCAUCUCCAAAUAGCAUCUCAUAGCAUAAUCCUACCCGGCGAUCCCCUCCUCAUAUCCCUGAGGUAGAGCGACCACCGGUUGUAUCUGGCACUUGGAAGGGUGUGUUUUAUUAAGUAUCCGGUUCUAGUUGUCAUAAGGUCAAGGUACAACUCCAAGUCGUCCUGUUACCGAAGAUCACGGCUAUUCGAAUAGAUUAACUUCCCUGCAGGGGUGCACCACAUUCCCCAACACGCUCGAUCCCAUUUGGCCGGACACACUUUCCUGGGUCAUGCCCGGCCGCGGAAGAUCAACACGUCGCAGCCCCACCUAGGCAAAACAGAGAGGCCAGCACGCCGGUCUAAACCUAAGCGCACAGGGGUCUGGGCCCAUCGCCCAUAGCACACCUGCACGUUGCGAGGGCGGCCGAAAGCAGACCUAGCCUAGUGGCGUUCCAGUCCAAUUCGGCGCGCGCCGCUCCGUCGCUGACGUCUGAAGUGCUUCGGCUGAUACCACGACGUCGGGAUACCCAUAACUACUCCCACGUAGAUGGUUAGUGCGUAUAGGCUCGUAGCCGACUCAGAUCAAAUACCAAGAUCUCGUUAAGCGUGUUAAGUAUCCGCGAACACCGAACAGGGCCAGGCCCACCUGUCUCCUAGGUGGUCUUAACCUGCCCUGUCGCUCCGCCACAAAGUAACCGUCGGGGACCGUCGGGAACCCAGGCCCACCUCUACCGGGAUGGAGCCACCUGUCCUUUCAGCCCCCAACUCCGUACAGUAUCACAGGUAAUGUAACAGUGUAAAGUAUAUAGUAUAUGCCCGUGAUCACCUCCCGAAGUGAUCACAGCCCAGUAGUAUAGCAUGGCAGACGGACAAGAGUGUAGGGCCACUGAUGGAACACUAGCAUCCUAUACUAAGCAUUUAGGAUUGCGGGUAAGGUAUCAAUGACUGUAGCAGCAAUGACAGGCUAUGCAUCAGAAUAGGAUUAACGGAAAGCAGUAACAUGCUACACUACUCUAAUGCAAGCAGUAUAGAGUAGAAUAGGCGAUAUCUGUUGAUCAAAGGGGGGGCUUGCCUGGUUGCUCUGUCAAGAGAGAGGGGUCGUCAACUCCGUAGUCGAACUAGUCAGCAGCAGCGUCGGUCUCGUAGUCUACCGGAGAGAAGAGGGGGAAGAAAUAAUGAAUACAGAGCAAACAAAGCAUCACAAAAUAUAACAAGGCAAUACGCGGUGUUCGGUGUGCCCUAACGCGGUAGUAGGUGAUACCGGUGAAGGGGGAAAAACAUUCGGGAAAGUAUUCCCGGGGUUUCGUGUUUUCGGGCAGAGGAGCCGGAGGGGGAAAGUUGCGGGUUCGAUAGGUUAGGGGUGUGCGGCGGACGAACGGACCACGUAUCCGGAUUCGUCUCGUCGUUCUGAGCAACUUUCAUGUAGAAAGUAUUUUCAUCCGAAUUACGGAUUAAAAGAUAUGAUUUUCUAAAGAUUUAAAUCAUUUUCUGAUUUUAAUUAUUUAUUUAAAUUCAACAUUAUCCAAAACAGUGUUUGCUGACGUCAUCAUGACGUCAGCGAUGUUGACUGGUCAACUGACGUGUGGGUCCCACUAGUCAUUGACUGUUUAGUCUAAUUAGUGUGUAACUAAUCUAACUACUAUUUAAUUAAACUAAUUAGUUAGUUUGGUUAAUGUAAUUAUGAUUAAUUAACUUAAUUAAUUUCUUAAUUAAUUAAUUAGUUAAAUUAUUAUUAUCUAUUUAUUUAUUUUAUUUAUUUUAUAUAUUAUUUUUAAUUCCUUUUUUUUAACAAAACGUUCUGGGGCUGGGGCCCCCAUGUCAGUGGCCCCAGGGGGCCUUAACGGGUUAGCGGGCAGGAGGGCGACGGGCGCCGGGGCGAGCGCUCACCCGCACGGAGUGUGGCGAGGCGAGGCCAGUGGCCAAGGCGACCGCGGUGGCCGGCCGGCGUGGGGAGACGAAGUGCGGGGCCGGCGACGAGCGAGCUCGCGGGCGAUAGAGGAGGCGCCGCCGGAGUGGGGCCGUGCGGACGGGCUGGCGUGAGGGGCGAGGCCACGGCAGCUGCAGCAGUGGGAGGCGCGGGCGCGCAGGCCGGCGAGGCCGCAUCGCUGGUGAGGUGAGGCUGCGCACGCGUGGGCGGUUGCGGGGCGCGCCCCGGGCGCGUCGAGGAGAGGGCGUGCACGACCGGGCGCACCUACAGGCGCGGUGAGCGCGUCGACAGAGGCGGCGGCCAGCGGCGACUACGAGCGUUGCACAGCGAUGGGAGCAGAGGAGAAGGGAGGGAACGGACGGCGGAGCUCACCGAGCCCUGUAGGUGUGCUUAAGUAGGCUCGAGGAGGAGUCGGGGAGGUCCGGCGACGAAGAGGGCGGCGGUGGUGGAGACGACGACGUCCGAGGCGAGCGCGGCGAUGGCGGUUCGGCGUCGAGAUGGGAUCGGGGGGGGGGCUGCCCCGAUCCAGAUCGGGCAGGGAGGGAGAUGAGGGAGCGAGGUGGAGGGCGACGGGGUCCUCAGGCGGGGGAGGGGGCACUCCGGGCGGCGUCUUGGCGGCGGCGAUCGAGCCCCCGAUCCAGAUCAGAUCGGGAGGGGGAGGGGAGAGUCGUGGGGAGUGGGGGGUGCGGUCGGGGGAGUUAGGGUUUUCCCUAGAGGGGAUAUGGAGGGGGGUUUGGGCCGGUCUGGUUGGAUGGCCAGCUGGGCCGUCUGGCCCAGUUAGCCAGGGGGCCUCUUCUCUUUUUUUUUGUAGUUUUGUUUUCUGUUUUUAUUGUUUUCCUUUUUUUAUUUUCUCUACUGUUUUAGCUCAUUUUAAAAAAAUAUAGGCCUUAUAUAAAAACAUGGUUUCUUCAUGACAAAUAGUUAGGGAAUAUUUUCAACACAUCAAACAUUAUAGUUUUGACUUUUGAAAACUUUAAUAGUUUUAACUUUAAUUCAAAUUUAGAAUUUGAAUCCGUUUCGAUCUAACAUGGAAUUAUCAACAAUAACCGAGGUGACGUGGCAUCAUUAACAUGGGAUUACUGUAGCCUGAUUACCCGGGCGUCACAGAGAUAUCGGGAUGAUCAAAGGGGGGCUUGCCUGGAAGCUUUGCUGAAAAAGAAGAAGUAUCGUCGUUGACGUAGUCGAUCACAGGGGCGGCAUCGGUCUCGGGGUCUACCGUAGAGAAGAGGGGGAAGAAACAAUAAAUAUAAAGCAAACAUAGCAUCACAAAGCAUAACAUGGCAAUAUAAUGUGCCGGGUGUGACCUAACGUAUGGCUACACGAUAAAGGUGAAGGGGGAAUUCAACCGGGAAUGUUUUUCCGGUUCCGGACCGGUGUCAGACAUAUGGUCGGAGGAGAAUGUUCCAUGUUCAGCAUACUAGGGGCAUUUGACAGAUGAACGGACCACAUAUUCAGAUUUGUUGGAUUUUUUUGAGCAACUUUCAUGUAGAAAACAUUUUCGUGCGAGUUACACUUUAUUUUCUAUAAAUUUCUAAAGUUUAAACAAAGUUCUGAAAUUACUUUUAAUUCGAAAAUAAAGACUAAAUUGCUAUGUGUACACAGAAGUGUACCCAGCUAUUUGCACCAGGCUGUAGGUGGGGUCUAGUUGACUGCUAAGUCAGCAGUCAAUUGAGACCAUUGACUAGUCAAAGGGGCCUGGGGACCCGCAUGUCAUUGACUGGGUUAUCCCAGUCAGCAGUUUGACUGGUCAAAAGGGACCAGCGGGACCCAUUUGUCAUAGGAACAUGUUAUAAACAGGAGUUUUAUUAGCUCAUUUAACUAGAUGGGGGGCACCAGUCAAUGUCUAUUGGCUAAAAUAUCUAGGCAAUUAGAUUAAUUANNNNNNNNNNNNNNNNNNNNNNNNNNNNNNNNNNNNNNNNNNNNNNNNNNNNNNNNNNNNNNNNNNNNNNNNNNNNNNNNNNNNNNNNNNNNNNNNNNNNNNNNNNNNNNNNNNNNNNNNNNNNNNNNNNNNNNNNNNNNNNNNNNNNNNNNNNNNNNNNNNNNNNNNNNNNNNNNNNNNNNNNNNNNNNNNNNNNNNNNNNNNNNNNNNNNNNNNNNNNNNNNNNNNNNNNNNNNNNNNNNNNNNNNNNNNNNNNNNNGUGGGGGGUAGUAAUAAAGGGGGAUUAGCUCCCACUAAUUAACAGGGGCGCGGCCUAGUUAGCAGCGGCCUCAGCACGCACGACGUACAGGGACGCCGGCGAUAGCUGCGAUGGCGCGAGGCCGUGCUCGCGCAGGCGCAGAGUGCGGGGUCGUGGCCAUGUGUCGGCCAGGAUGAGAGGAGCAGGUGCGGGGCUGGGAAGGAGGAGCAGCCAGCGCAUCUCGAGGGCGAGCGACGGGAAAUGGGCGAGGCGCGGCAGCCGGCGGUUCGUGAUGCGGGGCGGAGGGGCUCGGCGAGGCCUGAGCGCGGCGGCUGCAAGCGAGGCGCCGCCCAGGCACGACGACUGCGGGCAAGGCGCGGCCCCGGGCGUGCGGUUAGGCGAGCGAGGGCGCGCGUGGAGGGCCAGCAGGAGCGCGGGAAAGGCAGGGCGCGCGGCAGCCGCGAGCUCCUUGGGAGCUCGGGCGCGACGGCGGGAGCGACGUACGGCGUGCAGGAGAGCUAAGGGGGGGAGGGGAGGUGGCUCACUGUCGUUGCAGGGAAGGCCCGGGGAAGAGUCGAGGUGACCGGGACGACGUCGGCGAACGAAGAGGAAGACGAAGAUGCAGGGGAUGGUGUAGAGCACUCCAGCUCAAACCGUUCCUCGCGGACGAUGUAGGCGACGGUGGCGCAGCUGCUGGACACCCUUGCGAGGCUCGGGGAGCAUGGUUCCCGCAGGAUCUACGACGGCGCUCACGGGUGCGUGCUCGAUGUGGAACAAAUCGGCGAGGGAAAAGAGGAAAAAAGGUCUAGG
RNAcentral lists this long non-coding RNA (5199 nucleotides) under Triticum aestivum (bread wheat). RNAcentral's name for it is "long non-coding RNA (TAES_LNC003920)". Lineage: Eukaryota; Viridiplantae; Streptophyta; Magnoliopsida; Poales; Poaceae. The record is from RNAcentral.